Molecule: small nuclear RNA, 133 nt
Filed under: Piliocolobus tephrosceles (Ugandan red Colobus)
Lineage: Eukaryota; Metazoa; Chordata; Mammalia; Primates; Cercopithecidae
Description: U5 spliceosomal RNA (ENSPTEG00000010826.1)
Rfam family: U5 spliceosomal RNA
About the family: U5 RNA is a component of both types of known spliceosome. The precise function of this molecule is unknown, though it is known that the 5' loop is required for splice site selection and p220 binding, and that both the 3' stem-loop and the Sm site are important for Sm protein binding and cap methylation.
Source: Rfam by way of RNAcentral
AUACUCUGAUUUCUCUUGAGGUUGUAUAAAUCGUUCACCUUUUACCAAAGAUUUCUGUGGAGAGGAAUACCUUGACAGACAAGUGUAUGUCUGCAUUUGUCCUCUUCUUGGUGACCCCACCACUUUUGGGGAG